UGGGGAAUAUUGCACAAUGGGGGAAAGCCCUGAUGCAGCAACGCCGCGUGAAGGAAGACGGUUUUCGGAUUGUAAACUUCUGUUCUUAGUGAAGAAUAAUGACGGUAGCUAAGGAGCAAGCCACGGCUAACUACGUGCCAGCAGCCGCGGUAAUACGUAGGUGGCAAGCGUUGUCCGGAAUUACUGGGUGUAAAGGGAGCGCAGGCGGGAGACCAAGUCAGCUGUGAAAAGCUACGGGCUUAACCUGUAGACUGCAGUUGAAACUGGUUUUCUUGAGUGAAGUAGAGGUUGGCGGAAUUCCGAGUGUAGCGGUGAAAUGCGUAGAUAUUCGGAGGAACACCGGUGGCGAAGGCGGCCAACUGGGCUUUAACUGACGCUGAGGCUCGAAAGUGUGGGGAGCAAACAGGAUUAGAUACC
RNAcentral lists this ribosomal RNA (417 nucleotides) under uncultured bacterium. RNAcentral's name for it is "bacterial SSU rRNA". It matches the Rfam family "Bacterial small subunit ribosomal RNA", at positions 355 to 786 of the family's 1533-position model. The record is from RNAcentral.